RNAcentral lists this ribosomal RNA (460 nucleotides) under uncultured bacterium. RNAcentral's name for it is "partial 16S ribosomal RNA". It matches the Rfam family "Bacterial small subunit ribosomal RNA", at positions 338 to 795 of the family's 1533-position model. The record is from RNAcentral.
CCUACGGGUGGCAGCAGUGAGGAAUAUUGGUCAAUGGAGGCAAGUCUGAACCAGCCAUGCCGCGUGCAGGAAGACGGCUCUAGGAGUGGUAAACUGCUUUUGCACGGGGGUAAACGCAGAUACGCGUAUCUGUCUGAAAGGAUAGUAAGAAUAAAGAACGGGUGACUCCGUGCCAGCGGCCGCGGUAAUACGGAGGAUUCAAGCGUUAUCCGGAUUUAGUGGGUUUAAAGGGGGCGUAGGCGGUCGGAUAAGUUAGAGGUGAAAUCCCGAGGCUCAACUUCGGAAUUGCCUCUGAUACUGUUCGGCUAGAGAGUAGUUGCGGUAGGCGGAAUGUAUGGUGUAGCGGUGAAAUGCUUAGAGAUCAUACAGAACACCGAUUGCGAAGGCAGCUUACCAAGCUACUUCUGACGUUGAGGCACGAAAGCGUGGGGAGCAAACAGGAUUAGAUACCCCUGUAGUC